CCGACCUUAGCUCAGUUGGUAGAGCGGAGGACUGUAGUUGGUUUGUGUCUGCAGCCAAUCCUUAGGUCGCUGGUUCGAAUCCGGCAGGUCGGA
This is a non-coding RNA of Glycine soja, 93 nucleotides long. The record is from Rfam. NCBI's taxonomy places the organism in Eukaryota, Viridiplantae, Streptophyta, Magnoliopsida, Fabales, Fabaceae.